CUUUUGAGAAUUGUGGUUGAACUCCUUUGAUGAAGCUCUUGUUGGCACCAUAAAUUGGUUUUACUUCACAUUGUCUUGAUCAAGAGUGUGUGAAGCUUUUGAGAAUUAUGGUUGCCCUCCAUUGAUGAAGCUCUUGUUGUUGGCACCAUAAAUUGGUUUUGCUUCACACUGUCUUAAUCAAGAGUGUGUGAAGCUUUUGAGAAUUGUGGUUGCCCUCUAUUGAUGAAGCCUUUGUUGGCACCAUAAAUUGGUUUUGCUGCACACUGUCUUGAUCAAAAGUGUGUGAAGCUUUUGAGAAUUGUGGUUGAACUCCUUUGAUGAAGUUCUUGUUAUCACCAUAAAUUGGUUUUGCUUCACACUGUCUUGAUCAAGAGUUUGUGAAGCUUUUGAGAAUUGUGGUUGCCUUGCAUUGAUGAAGCUCUUGUUGGCACCAUAAAUUGGUUUUGCUUCACACUGUCUUGAUAAAAAGUGUGUGAAGCUUUUGAGAAUUGUGGUUGAACUCCUUUGAUGAAGCUCUUGUUGGCACCAUAAAUUGGUUUUGCUUCACACUGUCUUGAACAAGAGUGUGUGAAGCUUUUGAGAAUUGUGGUUAAACUCCUUUGAUGAAGCUCUUGAUAAAGAGUGUGUGAAACUUUUGAGAAUUGUGGUUGAACUUCUUUGAUGAAGCUCUUGUUGGCACCAUAAAUUGGUUUUGCUUCA
RNAcentral lists this long non-coding RNA (699 nucleotides) under Malus domestica (apple). RNAcentral's name for it is "long non-coding RNA (MDOM_LNC003933)". The record is from RNAcentral. Lineage: Eukaryota; Viridiplantae; Streptophyta; Magnoliopsida; Rosales; Rosaceae.